Molecule: ribosomal RNA, 561 nt
Filed under: Triticum aestivum (bread wheat)
Lineage: Eukaryota; Viridiplantae; Streptophyta; Magnoliopsida; Poales; Poaceae
Description: partial small subunit ribosomal RNA
Source: RNAcentral
AUGGUCACCGUCGGCGCCAUGGUGUACCUGGUCGACGGCAGGAGGAAGGUCUGGCGCGCGGACCUCGCGGACCCGGAGCCCAAGGUGGAGUGCCGGAACACGGCGUGCCAGCUCCCGUUCGGCGAGAGCAGCAUGCGCCACUACCUCGUGGAGUCGCUCCGGCACGUCCACCUCGUGCUCGCGGACGAGCACAACGCGCGCGUCGCGCUCUUCAGGUUGGACUGGGACAAGAAGAUGUGGAUGCAGGACCGGGUGCGCGGGGACCGUGUCCUGCUUUUGGGCCGCGGGUGCUCGGCCUCUGUGCCGGCGGCGUCGGGCCGGCCGCCUGGCAUGCUGCUAUUCGCGCACCAGCCGUCGUUGAGUCUCGUUGACGUGGGCGGUUGUGGCGCUGGGCUCGCGUGGUUCUGGGCGGAAUCGUGGGUGGAUGACGGCUCGGAUGAUAUGCUGGUGCUGAAGAAGAAGAUGCACCACCGGCAAGGCGAGUUCACCGCUGGUGACUCGUUCUGGUUCUUCCCGGCCAUCGAUCCGGAUGAAAGGGCUAUGGUUGCAUCGCAGGCCUAG